This 253-nucleotide ribosomal RNA is filed under the name uncultured bacterium. RNAcentral describes it as "partial 16S ribosomal RNA". It matches the Rfam family "Bacterial small subunit ribosomal RNA", at positions 524 to 776 of the family's 1533-position model. The record is from RNAcentral.
UACGAAGGGGGCUAGCGUUGCUCGGAAUUACUGGGCGUAAAGGGCGCGUAGGCGGCACUGUUAGUCAGGCGUGAAAUUCCUGGGCUCAACCUGGGGACUGCGCUUGAUACGGCAGGGCUUGAGGAUGGAAGAGGGUCGCGGAAUUCCCAGUGUAGAGGUGAAAUUCGUAGAUAUUGGGAAGAACACCGGUGGCGAAGGCGGCGACCUGGUCCAUUACUGACGCUGAGGCGCGACAGCGUGGGGAGCAAACAGG